GACGAACGCUGGCGGCGUGCUUAACACAUGCAAGUCGAACGGAAAGGCCUGCUUUCCCUUGUGGAUUGCGGGUACUCGAGUGGCGAACGGGUGAGUAACACGUGAGUGAUCUUUCCCCAACUUGGGUAUAAGCCUGGGAAACUGGGUCUAAUUCCCGAUAGGUCUGCAGGGUGGUGCCUGUGGUGGCAAACGAUGUUCUAGUGGUUGGGGAUGAGCUCGCGGCCUAUCAGCUUGUUGGUGGGGUAAUGGCCUACCAAGGCGGCGACGGGUAGCCGGCCUGGGAUGGUCGGCGGCAGCGGUUGAACGGAGAUACUGCGCAGGAUACUACGGGAGGAAGCAGUGGGGAGUAAGGCGCAGUGGACAGUGGCCUGAGGGAGGGACCCUGAGUGAGCAAUGCCGGGCUUCGGGUUGUGGCCUCCUUUCGGCAGCGAGGAAGCGCCCGGGUUGGAAGGGUAGUGACGGUAGUGGUAGAAGAAGCACCGGCUAACUACGUG
RNAcentral lists this ribosomal RNA (494 nucleotides) under uncultured bacterium. RNAcentral describes it as "partial 16S ribosomal RNA". It matches the Rfam family "Bacterial small subunit ribosomal RNA", at positions 28 to 507 of the family's 1533-position model. The record is from RNAcentral.